GGCCCUCUCUGGGGAGCUGAAGGCCUCCAUAACUGCCAUGGGAUUGAUUUGAGAAAACGAAUACAGCAGGGAUGACUUCCACCAGCUCCACUUUGCAGCUCUGAGGUGUAUUAAAAAUAAACCUAGAGCCCCACCAAAUGAAUCCGCUGGCACGUGGACCUCAGAUGGGGGAAACUGAGGACUGAAUUCUGACCACCCUCCUUUGUUCUAAAUUUCUUCCUGAAGGACCUGGAAGAAGUCAUGCCACGGGCCAGACCUUAACAUUCCUUUCGGCUUACCCCAGGAUUUCAGACAAAGCUUCACUUUCCUAACCAGUCACAAAUCAGAGAAUUUUUGAUUCCACCUAUGACCUGUGAGCUCCUGCUUCAAGAUAUUCCACCUUUUUUAGGCCAAACCAAUGUAUAACCUCCAAGUGUCGAUUUACACUUUCGACUGUAACUUCUGCUUUCCUGAGAUUUACCCCUGCCUUUAAAAACCCUUGCUUGUAAUCCCUCAGGGAGGCCGUGUAUUUAUUAAUCAUGAGCUGCCCAAUUCUCCUUGCUUGGUGCCCUGCAAAUAAACACCCUCUUUUCUCCCACUGCAAAA
RNAcentral lists this long non-coding RNA (585 nucleotides) under Homo sapiens (human). Its description in RNAcentral is "PPP1R3B divergent transcript". Lineage: Eukaryota; Metazoa; Chordata; Mammalia; Primates; Hominidae. The record is from RNAcentral.